This 158-nucleotide ribosomal RNA is filed under the name uncultured bacterium. RNAcentral describes it as "partial 16S ribosomal RNA". It matches the Rfam family "Bacterial small subunit ribosomal RNA", at positions 332 to 507 of the family's 1533-position model. The record is from RNAcentral.
AGUGAUCCUACGGGAGGCAGCAGUGGGGAAUAUUGCACAAUGGGCGAAAGCCUGAUGCAGCAACGCCGCGUGAGCGAUGAAGGCCUUCGGGUCGUAAAGCUCUGUCCUAUGGGAAGAUAAUGACGGUACCAUAGGAGGAAGCCCCGGCUAACUACGUG